Molecule: ribosomal RNA, 253 nt
Filed under: uncultured bacterium
Lineage: Bacteria
Description: partial 16S ribosomal RNA
Rfam family: Bacterial small subunit ribosomal RNA
Source: RNAcentral
UACGGAGGGGGCUAGCGUUAUUCGGAAUUACUGGGCGUAAAGCGCACGUAGGCGGAUUAGAAAGUCAGAGGUGAAAUCCCAGGGCUCAACCUUGGAACUGCCUUUGAAACUGGAAAGCUAGAAUCUUGGAGAGGUCAGUGGAAUUCCGAGUGUAGAGGUGAAAUUCGUAGAUAUUCGGAAGAACACCAGUGGCGAAGGCGACUUACUGGACGACUGUUGACGCUGAGGUGCGAAAGCGUGGGGAGCAAACAGG